RNAcentral lists this ribosomal RNA (750 nucleotides) under uncultured fungus. Its description in RNAcentral is "eukaryotic LSU rRNA". The stretch from base 530 to 750 matches the Rfam family "Eukaryotic large subunit ribosomal RNA", at positions 1 to 219 of the family's 3401-position model. Lineage: Eukaryota; Fungi. The record is from RNAcentral.
GCUUCGGCAAGGCCCUUGCUUAACUCACAUCCCAACACCUGUGAACUGUAAGGCGCAUGACUAGGUUCGCCCAAGUCAUCGUCUGCCCUUUUUAACAAACAAUUAAUGUAACAAACGUAGUCUUAUUAUAACCUAAUAAAACUUUCAACAACGGAUCUCUUGGCUCUCGCAUCGAUGAAGAACGCAGCGAAAUGCGAUAAGUAAUGUGAAUUGCAGAAUUCAGUGAAUCAUCGAGUCUUUGAACGCACCUUGCGCUCUUUGGUAUUCCGAAGAGCAUGCCUGUUUGAGUGUCAUGAAAAUAUCAACCUUGACUUGGGUUUUGUGCUCUAGUCUCGGCUUGGAAUUGGGUGCUUGCCGCUUUUACGAGCGGCUCACCUUAAAUGUAUUAGCUGGAUCUGUCUUUGAGACUUGGUUUGACUUGGCGUAAUAAGUAUUUCGCUAAGGACAUUCUUCGGAGUGGCCUCGUUUCUAGGACGCUUGUCCGCUUUCCAAUACAAGUUCCACCUCGUGGACAUGACUUUUUAUUAUCUGGCCUCAAAUCAGGUAGGACUACCCGCUGAACUUAAGCAUAUCAAUAAGCGGAGGAAAAGAAACUAACAAGGAUUCCCCUAGUAACGGCGAGUGAAGCGGGAAAAGCUCAAAUUUGAAAUCUGGCAGCCUGAGGUUGUCCGAGUUGUAAUCUAUAGAAACGUUUUCCGCGCUGGCCCAUGUACAAGUCCCUUGGAAUAGGGCGUCAUAGAGGGUGAGAAU